UACGAAGGGGGCUAGCCUUGCUCGGAAUGACUGGGCGUAAAGGGCGCGGAGGUGGAUAUUUAAGUCAGGGGUGAAAGCCCGGGGCUCAACCUCGGAAUUGCCUUUGAUACUGGAUAUCUUGAGUUCGGGAGAGGUGAGUGGAAUGCCGAGUGUAGAGGUGAAAUUCGUAGAUUUUCGGCGGAACACCAGUGGCGAAGGCGACUCACUGGCCCGAUACUGACGCUGAGGCGCGAAAGCGUGGGGAGCAAACAGG
RNAcentral lists this unclassified non-coding RNA (253 nucleotides) under uncultured Caulobacteraceae bacterium. RNAcentral describes it as "contains 16S-23S intergenic spacer region". It matches the Rfam family "Bacterial small subunit ribosomal RNA", at positions 524 to 776 of the family's 1533-position model. Lineage: Bacteria; Pseudomonadati; Pseudomonadota; Alphaproteobacteria; Caulobacterales; Caulobacteraceae. The record is from RNAcentral.